UCCUUCUCUGUCCUCACAGCACCCUUUUUCUUCCGCACUUUCUUUGGAGGCUCCAUCUUGGCUGCUGCAGAUGUCGAUGGCCCCUGAUCUCCAAGGUCAACGCUCCCCAAUAGCCCAUGCUUCCGCUUGCGAUUCGUUGAACAGUCCCUGAUUCUCCUCUGCUUCUUUUUUGUCGACAGAUUUAAAUACCCAAACAGCCUUCCCGGCCCAAACGUCAUAUUUCUAAAAUCAGGAAACCUUGGCUGACUUCGUCUCAUAACGGCUCUGUGGAUCUCCCUAGAACCCACGUCUUCCUUUUGGGUAGAAAAAGAUGAACCGCUAGCACUGAU
This 329-nucleotide long non-coding RNA is filed under the name Spirodela polyrhiza (greater duckweed). Its description in RNAcentral is "long non-coding RNA (SPOL_LNC001732)". Lineage: Eukaryota; Viridiplantae; Streptophyta; Magnoliopsida; Alismatales; Araceae. The record is from RNAcentral.